Molecule: long non-coding RNA, 869 nt
Organism: Parus major (Great Tit)
Lineage: Eukaryota; Metazoa; Chordata; Aves; Passeriformes; Paridae
Exons: 2
Source: RefSeq, a predicted model, not a curated record
GGUGAGCAGAGGUUUCUUUAUUGCUGAACUGAACCUUGAAAUAACUAUGUGUUUUUUUUAUUCACAGGUGCAAUGGAACAUUGCUUUAGGGUCAAUAUUUACAUUUUUCCAUCUUUAUACUGGUGCACUCAUCUGUGUCUUGGCUAUGGGCUGUCUAGUCUUGAAAUACAAGUUUCUAAUUUGUAUCAGCAUGAAAAUUUCGACAUAAAUAUGUUGUCACAAUAUAGAUGGUUUAAUUGGGGCAUGCUAUGUCACUAUAACUGCUCUAUUGAGCUGCCUCUUGGGGAACUGAUUUAGCUUUCUGAUAGUGAAUGGUAAUAUGGUAAUAACCACUGCUCAAUCAGGACAGUAAUUAGCAUCAAUUCUGUUUAAUUGAACUAAAUUUAACUGGAGUGAAGGAGUAAAGUACUGAUUAACCUCCAAACUAUUGAUCAGUGCUCACUAAUUCUCCAAAGACACGAAUGAUUAUAUCAAUAAAGGACAUAAAUGUUUAACUUUACAAAUCAAACAGGAUAUGGAAAUAUAGUACAGCAUAAAUAGUAUUCCUACAUGGACAAAAGCAGUCUGAAUAAAUUAGCUCUGUAGUCACGAUUCCUUUUUGAAUUUAAAUUGUUCAACAAAAAUUUACAUAGUUGAUGUAAAUGACUAACUGCAGUGGUUUUUUUCAGUACCUGUACAUAAAGCAUCUCUCAAUUCCACAACAACUUUGAGAGAGUGAUAAAUUGCAAAGCCCUGGACUAUGGCUUCAUGUGAGACAAAAGGGUGGAUGACCUGAGAAAACCUGCACAAAGGAUUCUAGCUCAGAGGAAUACAACCAAUGGCAUCAAAUACAUGGCUUUUGUCCAAUUAAAAAAUUAUCAGAAUUCUAA